AAAAAAAUCCCCUCUGUGCCAGCCGGCGCCCGACGGCCCGAUUCAGCGCCUCCCGCCGGAGACCGCCCGCCGCCGACGAGGGGCACGCCGGUGAUCUCCCCCAGCCCGCCUGCCCCUCUUUCAUAUCCGUUCUACUCCUUCUCUCUCGGCCCCCUCGAGCUCGCCUCGAUCCAUGGCCUCUUCUUAAACCUAGCUCCGGUCACGGCCACGACCGGCUUCGCAGCUCCCGGCCGCCAUCGCCUGCGCCUCCCCCCGUGUCUCCCUCACCUCGCCUGUGCAGCACCGUGGUUGUACAUCGCCAGCGCCAUCAGCUACAGCCCCGCUCUAAUCCACCUGCAAGCCAUGGACAGCGGCCUGGCUGCUUACUCGUCGCUGGCCUACCAGUACCUCCACCAACAUCUCAUCCAUCUAGAUCAGGGGCGCUUUAAUUUCAGCAGAUUUUCUUCUUCUUUGCAACAUGAUGUUUUCCUAUGCCUUGAAGAGUUGUUGAUGGAUGAUAUACAUAGGCUACCAGGUGGUAGCUCCAAUGUUGCAACUGAGGCCAGCAAUGGGUGCUUCUCCUGGGAUGGCUCACCUGAGAUACCAACGUUGAAGGAUCUGAAUUUUCAAGCUCGGCAAGGCAUGCGUGUUGCACUUUGUGGGACGGUCGGCUCUGGAAAAUCAAGUUUGAUCACUUGA
Molecule: ribosomal RNA, 678 nt
Filed under: Triticum aestivum (bread wheat)
Lineage: Eukaryota; Viridiplantae; Streptophyta; Magnoliopsida; Poales; Poaceae
Description: partial small subunit ribosomal RNA
Source: RNAcentral